This is an RNA transcript of Arabidopsis thaliana (thale cress), 686 nucleotides long. RefSeq lists it as uncharacterized. The record is from RefSeq. The transcript is spliced from 3 exons. Lineage: Eukaryota; Viridiplantae; Streptophyta; Magnoliopsida; Brassicales; Brassicaceae.
CACGGGAUGAUAAGCGGGAAAAGUGACUAUUCGCUGAGAAUUUAUGUGUUUUGAUCGGAGAAAUUAGACAACUCGUAAUCUCAAAAGUUUUCAUUAAGAUAACAGCAUUCAUUUCUAUGGUUUUGAGAUCAAUCUGAUUUCAAAAGACAAUCUUCUACACUGUCUUUAAUGUCCUUUCGAGUUAGGGAUUGCUAUCUCUGUAUGUAUAAUCAAGUGGUGCAGUGCGUAUAUAAUCCAUUGCACAUGCACACAUCACCAGUUGUUUUUCCUUGUUGUAUCAAGCACAUGAUACUUAAAGGGAAUAACAUGAAAGAGUGAAGAAGAAUGAUGGAGUAGUUUCGGAGAAGAUGGAGGACUUUUGGGGUUGCAUUGUCAUGGAAUAUGAUUCAAGCAAUUGCAGGAGAUGAUCAAAAGUCUUUGAGCUUUGGUCCUUGCUUCACCAAGAACAAGACUUUUUUUAGUUUUCUUCAAAAGCUUAGCAAAAGUCAAAAACCUAAGCUGAUUUUGUGUGUUUUUAAUCUCAUAUUCAUUGCAUAUUUUUUGUUAUGGAUGGAAUAUUUUAGUUAGCUGAUAAUAUUAACCAAAUAUAAUAAUUAUUUUAAAUAUCGAAAAUUAUAUGAGGUUCUUGUUGUUGUUGUUGGUCUUUUCGACUUUCUGCUUAAACCCAGAAAAAUGGAUUCACAGCU